UUCUCAGCGUUAGAAAUGCAGGGACAAGGAAAUUUUUCAGAUGUGCUCCUUGAGGCUGCUGGGCGGUGUACUACUCUCAGAUCAAAACCAACCCUGUUACUCCUGAGAAAACCGCUCUUUCGGUCUCAGCGCUGGGCAGGCCAGGCCUUCAUGCUGCUGUGGGUGUCAGUGCUGGUCCUGGCUCCUAUCAGUGGACAAUUUGCACCUGUAUCCAAACCCGUGAUUUCUCUCCAACCUCCAUGGACUGUCACCUUCGAAGGACAGGCAGUGACUCUGACUUGCCAUGUAGCAGAGGACAAAAAAUGGUACCGGUGGUACCUUGGGACAAAAAUCCUACGUGAAAUCCCAUCAAACACCCUCCGGGUCCAGGAUUCUGGAGAGUACAAAUGCGAGAUACAGGGCUCGCCCCAAAGUGAUGGUGUGAGCUUGACUUUUUCACCAGCUGAGCUGAUCCUGCAGGCUCCCCCGUCCGUGUUUGAAGGCGACUCUCUGACGCUGAUGUGCCAAGAAAAGCCAGGUUUAUCCCUGAAGACCAGGACCCUGUACAAGAAUGACAAUAAGCUGAUAGACCUUGGUAAAAAAUCCAGCUUGCACAUCAACCACGCAGAUCUGAAGGAUAAUGGGGAAUAUCGCUGUAUUGGAUCUGAGACCCAUGGUUGCGCUUUUUCGUCAGACGCAGUCAGAAUCCAAGUCCAAGAGCUGUUUCCACGACCCAUACUGAGGGCCAACCCCUCCUCGCCCAACCCCGGGGAACCAGUGAUCCUGACCUGUGAGACCCAGCUCGCCCCUCAGAAGUCAGAUGUCCGACUCUGGUUCCAAUUCUUCAGAGAUGACCGGCGCUUGGGGUCAGGCUGGAAGGGCUCUCUGAGAACCUCAAUACCCUCCAUCGUGGGGAAUGAAGACCCAUCGCAUUACUGGUGUGAGGCAAAGACAGUGUCUUCCAGUGUCCGCAAAAGCAGCCAGAAACUCCAGCUGCCCGUGCGGAUCCCCGUGUCUCCCCCUCUCCUCACCCUCAGCCCUCCCAGCACCCAAGCUGUCGAAGGACACUGGCUGACACUUUCCUGUGAAGCCAAGACAGGCUCUUACCCGAUCGAGUACCAGUUUCUUCAUGAAGAAGUGGUUCUCAGGAAAACGAAGGUCACUUUUAGGGAAACGGCGACCUUCCAACUCUAUCUGAAGGCAGAGCACUCCGGGACCUACUUCUGCACCGCAGACAACGGCCUGGGUAUCCGGCGCAGCCAGCCGGUGCUCCUCUCUGUCACCGUCCCCGUGUCUCGUCCUGUCCUCACCCUCAGCCCUCCCGGACCCCGAGCUGUUGAGGGAGACCGGCUGAUGCUUUCCUGUCAAGCCCAGAGAGGUUCGCCCCGCAUCCUGUACCAGUUUUAUCGCGGAGACGUGCCCCUGGGGAGCAGCUCGGCCCCCUCUGCAGGAGACGCCUCCUUCAGUGUUACUCUGACUGCAGAGCACUCCGGGACCUACUUCUGCACAGCGGACAAUGGCUUUGGCCCCCAGCGCAGUGAUCCCGAGAACCUGUCUGUCUCAGUCCCAGCGUCCCGCCCUGUCCUGACCCUCAGGGCGCCCAGGACCCGAGCCGUGGUGGGAGACAUGGUGGAGUUUCGCUGUGAGGCCCAGAGGGGCUCUCCCCCGAUCCUGUACCGGUUUUACUACGAGGAUGUCAUCCUGGGGAGCAACUGGGCCCCCUCUGGAGGAGGAGCGUCCUUCAACCUCUCUCUGACCGCAGAACAUUCUGGAAACUAUGCCUGUGAGGCCGACAAUGGCCUGGGGGCCCAGCGCAGCGAGGAGACCUCACUCAGUGUCACAGUCCCAGUGUCCCACCCCGUCCUCACCCUCAGGGUGCCCAGGGCGCAGGCCGUGGUGGGGGAUGUGGUAGAGCUUCACUGUGAGGCCCAGAGCGGCUCUCCCCCGAUCCGGUACCGGUUUUACCACGAGGAUGUCACCCUGGGGAACAACUCGGCCCCCUCUGGAGGAGGAGCGUCCUUCAACCUCUCUCUGACCGCAGAACUUUCUGGAAACUACUCUUGUGAGGCCGACAAUGGCCUGGGGGCCCAGCGUAGCAAGACAGUGCCACUCACCGUCACAGUCCCAGCGUCCCGCCCCGUCCUCACCCUCAGGGCCCCCGGGACCCGGGCCAUGGUGGGGGACAUGGUGGAGCUUCGCUGUGAGGCCCAGAGCGGCUCUCCCCCGAUCCUGUACCGGUUUUACCACGAGGACGUCAUCCUGGGGAGCAGCUCCGCCUCCUCUGGAGGAGGAGUGUCCUUCAACCUAUCUCUGACCGCAGAACGUUCUGGAAACUACUCCUGUGAGGCUGACAACGGCCUGGGGGCCCAGCGCAGCGAGGCAGUGACCCUCAGCGUCACAGGGCUGACAGGGAGCAGAAGUGGCCCUGUUGCCACAGGCGUGGCCGGGGGCCUGCUCAGCGUGGCGGGCCUCGUGGUCAUGGCUCUGCUGUUGUACUGCCGACUCCCCAGGAGAGCAGGAGGAAGGCUGACCUCUGACCCUUCCAGGAGCCCUUCAGACUCGGACCCCCAAGAGCCCACCUACUACAAUGUUCCAGGCUGGAUGGAGCUGCAGCCGGUGUACGACAAUGUCAACCCUAAAGCAGGAGACGUGAUGUACUCAGAAGUGCGGAUUCAGGAGGGGAACAGACAUGCAGCGGCUUCAAACUCCACAUUCGGGCUCCUCCGGACUUACCUGCCCUCGCAUGGCCCGGCCACCAGCCAGCAGCCUUCCAGACCCCAGCCCUCCUCAGUCAUCUACUCCCAGGUGAAGGUGGCAUCGCCCCCAGUCUCCACAGCUCCUCGAAGCUGAGUCCACACACCCUUCCCUGCACCCCAAGCCAUCCUGGGGUGCGAUGUGCAAGUAGGAAGGUCUGAACAGCUCCAGGCCCCGUCCUGCGGCCUCUGCUGUCAGUGUGACUAGAGCACGGGCCCCACGGGACGUUGCUGUUUCCCAAGUGACAGCCCAGAGCUCAUGGGUUUUUGCACAGUGGCUUCCACCCAGGGCCCUCUUGUCCCCUGGUUUCCUCAGCGGGCUUCAGCCAUAGGCCCCUGUUCUGAGUCCCACUCCCACAUACACCCUGAGCUCUCCUCAGUGGGACCUGCUCCUCGACCUCGUCUGCAGACACCUGUCCUCCCUGCAAACCCCUGCCCCCACAGACACCUGCCCUCUGUGGACACCUCUCAUCCCCACGGUCAUCUACCCCCUCUGCGGACACCUCCUCCCCACCAGAUACCUGCCCCUCACAGUGGCUUUCCUCAAUGGUCAUCAGCCUGGCAGGGCUACCACAGCACUUGGCCAAGUGGGACAGCAUGGGACCCUGGGAACAGGCGCAGGCGGGCUGCAGACCUCCUCACCAUGGGGCUGUCCUCCGUGCCCCCAGCUGCUCAGACAGCAAGGUCAGCCCCUGACGCCAGGACAGCUCCUCCCUGCACAGGGGCCGACACCCCUGCCCGAGCCAGUGGGUUCACAGCCCCUUCCCAUGUGCCCCCUGGUGUGGGCACAGGGACAUCCUCUCACCUGUCAGCGGGAGGAGACGCGCUCCAAGUGUGGGCUGUUGUGACAGAGCCAGCUCCGAAGGUCAUGAGGACAGAGAAAGGCAGGCAGGGCCGGAGACAGCGGAGGCGGGACAGCUUGCUGGGGGCCGUGAUCAGAUUCCAGGUCAAGAGGAAGACACAGGAGAAACUUUGGAGACAGGGAAAACAGAAUGUGAACUAUAUAGUAUUGAUACCAUUGAAUAACAAUCUGUUAUUACUUUAAGAAUAUUUUUGAAAAUAUUUGAAAUACCUUGAAGUGAUUCAGUAAAAGUUUUUAAACGUG
This is an RNA transcript of Mustela erminea (ermine), 3837 nucleotides long. It is a transcript of the gene named Fc receptor like 5, with no coding region annotated. The record is from RefSeq and is a predicted model, not a curated record. The transcript is spliced from 17 exons. NCBI's taxonomy places the organism in Eukaryota, Metazoa, Chordata, Mammalia, Carnivora, Mustelidae.